UACGUAGGGCGCAAGCGUUGUCCGGAAUUAUUGGGCGUAAAGAGCUCGUAGGCGGUCUGUCACGUCUGCUGUGAAAACCCGAGGCUCAACCUCGGGCUUGCAGUGGGUACGGGCAGACUAGAGUGCGGUAGGGGAGACUGGAAUUCCUGGUGUAGCGGUAAAAUAGCACAGAUAUCAGGAGGAACACCGAUGGCGAAGGCAGGUCUCUGGGCCGGCAACUGACGCUGAGGAGCGAAAGCGUGGGUAGCAAACAGGAUUAGAUA
Molecule: ribosomal RNA, 263 nt
Filed under: uncultured prokaryote
Description: partial 16S ribosomal RNA
Rfam family: Bacterial small subunit ribosomal RNA
Source: RNAcentral